AGAGGGACAGUUUUAAAUUGGAGGGUCUGAGAAGAUGGCAGAACUUACUUCAAGGGCUGCAGGAUUGUGGCUCACACCUACUAUCCUACCACCUAGGGGGGAGCCGAUGGAGGAGAAUCGGGAGUUCAAGGUCAUCCUGGACUACAUAGCAAAUUUGAGGUCAGCCUGGACGGCCGAAGGUCCUGGAUUCAACUCUCAGCAUUGCAAAAAUAAUAAAGAUCUUAUACCCGA
Rattus rattus (black rat) is the source of this 231-nucleotide long non-coding RNA. RefSeq lists it as uncharacterized. NCBI's taxonomy places the organism in Eukaryota, Metazoa, Chordata, Mammalia, Rodentia, Muridae. The record is from RefSeq and is a predicted model, not a curated record. The transcript has 2 exons.